UGAACGCUGGCGGCAUGGGCUAAAACAUGCAAGUCGAACGCGAAAUCGGCUUCGGCCGAGAGUAGAGUGGCGAACGGGCGAGUAAUACCUUCCUAACGUGCCUCAAGUGUCAGGGAUAGCUCGGGGAAACCUGUGGUAAUACCUGAUAUUCCCGCGUGAUCGCAUGGUCGUGCGGGCAAAGGCUUGUCUGCCUUGAGAUCGGGGAAGGCGCUAUCAGCUUGUUGGUGGGGUAACGGCCUACCAAGGCGGAGACGGCUAGCGGGUGUGAGAGCAUGACCCGCCGCAUCGGGACUGAGACACUGCCCGGACUCCUACGGGAGGCUGCAGUAACGAAUCUUCCGCAAUGGGCGCAAGCCUGACGGAGCAAUGCCGCGUGCAGGAUGAAGCCCCUCGGGGUGUAAACUGCUGUCAGGGGCUACCAAGUUCUGAGGAGCCCCAGAGGAAGGGCCGGCUAACUUCGUGCCAGCAGCCGCGGUAAUACGAAGGGCCCGAGCGUUAAGCGGAAUCACUGGGCUUAAAGGGUGCGUAGGCGGACACGUCAGUGCUUUGUGAAAUCCCACAGCUCAACUGUGGACGUGCUUGGCAUACUGCGUGUCUUGAGGUCGGUAGAGGUUGCCGGAACUGUAGGUGUAGCGGUGAAAUGCGUAGAUAUCUACAGGAACACCCAUGGCGAAGGCAGGCAACUGGACCGAUUCUGACGCUGAGGCACGAAAGCGUGGGGAGCAAACAGGAUUAGAUACCCUGGUAGUCCACGCUGUAAACGAUGUGCACUAGGUCUCGGGAGUUUUGACGCUCUCGGAACCGAAAAGAAAUCGAUAAGUGCACCGCCUGGGGAGUACGGUCGCAAGGCUAAAACUCAAAGGAAUUGACGGGGGCUCACACAAGCGGUGGAGCAUGUGGCUUAAUUCGAAGCAACGCGAAGAACCUUAUCCUGGAUUUGACAUGUACGAAUUAAAGCCCCUGUGAAAGCAGGGU
Molecule: ribosomal RNA, 975 nt
Filed under: uncultured organism
Description: bacterial SSU rRNA
Rfam family: Bacterial small subunit ribosomal RNA
Source: RNAcentral